Molecule: ribosomal RNA, 467 nt
Filed under: uncultured bacterium
Lineage: Bacteria
Description: partial 16S ribosomal RNA
Rfam family: Bacterial small subunit ribosomal RNA
Source: RNAcentral
GACGAACGCUGGCGGCGUGCUUAACACAUGCAAGUCGAACGGAAAGGCCCUGCUUUUGUGGGGUGCUCGAGUGGCGAACGGGUGAGUAACACGUGAGUAACCUGCCCUUGACUUUGGGAUAACUUCAGGAAACUGGGGCUAAUACCGGAUAGGAGCUCCUGCUGCAUGGUGGGGGUUGGAAAGUUUCGGCGGUUGGGGAUGGACUCGCGGCUUAUCAGCUUGUUGGUGGGGUAGUGGCUUACCAAGGCUUUGACGGGUAGCGGCCUGAGAGGGUGACCGGCCACAUUGGGACUGAGAUACGGCCCAGACUCCUACGGGAGGCAGCAGUGGGGGAUAUUGCACAAUGGGCGGAAGCCUGAUGCAGCAACGCCGCGUGCGGGAUGACGGCCUUCGGGUUGUAAACCGCUUUCGCCUGUGACGAAGCGUGAGUGACGGUAAUGGGUAAAGAAGCACCGGCUAACUACGUG